AACGAACGCUGGCGGCAUGCCUAACACAUGCAAGUCGAACGAGACCUUCGGGACUAGUGGCGCACGGGUGCGUCACGCGUGGGAACCUUCCGUUAGGCUCGGAAUAACUCUCCGACGGGGGUGAUAACACCGGAUAAUGUCCUCGGACCAAAGAUUUGUCGACCUUGGAUGGGCACGCGUUGGUUUAGCCUGUUGGUAGGGAAAAAGCCUACCAAGGCGUGGCUACAUAGCUGGUCUGUGAGGAUGAUCAGCCACACUGGGACUGGGACCCGGUCGGGACUCCUACGGGAGGGGGCAGUGGGGGAUAUUGGACAAUCGGCGAAGGGCUGAUCCAGCAAUGCCGCGUGAGUGAUGAAGGCCUGAGGGAUGUAAAGCUCUUUUACCCGGGAUGAUAAUGACAGUACCGGGAGAAUAAGCUCCGGCUAACUCCGUG
This 433-nucleotide ribosomal RNA is filed under the name uncultured bacterium. RNAcentral describes it as "partial 16S ribosomal RNA". It matches the Rfam family "Bacterial small subunit ribosomal RNA", at positions 29 to 507 of the family's 1533-position model. The record is from RNAcentral.